CUACGGGGCGCUCCAGUGGGGAAUAUUGCACAAUGGAGGAAACUCUGAUGCAGCAACGCCGCGUGGAGGAUGACACUUCUCGGAGCGUAAACUCCUUUUAUAUAGGAAGAUAAUGACGGUACUAUAUGAAUAAGCACCGGCUAACUCCGUGCCAGCAGCCGCGGUAAUACGGAGGGUGCAAGCGUUACUCGGAAUCACUGGGCGUAAAGAGCGUGUAGGCGGGUUAAUAAGUCAGAAGUGAAAUCCUAUGGCUCAACCAUAGAACUGCUUUUGAAACUGUUAACCUAGAGUGUGGGAGAGGUAGAUGGAAUUUCUGGUGUAGGGGUAAAAUCCGUAGAGAUCAGAAGGAAUACCGAUUGCGAAGGCGAUCUACUGGAACAUAACUGACGCUGAGACGCGAAAGCGUGGGGAGCAAACAGGAUUAGAUACCCCUGUAGUC
This 439-nucleotide ribosomal RNA is filed under the name uncultured bacterium. RNAcentral's name for it is "partial 16S ribosomal RNA". It matches the Rfam family "Bacterial small subunit ribosomal RNA", at positions 339 to 795 of the family's 1533-position model. The record is from RNAcentral.